CAGGGCGUCAUAGAGGGUGAGAAUCCCGUAUGUGACCGGCGACCAACCCCAUGUGAAACCCCUUCGACGAGUCGAGUUGUUUGGGAAUGCAGCUCAAAAUGGGUGGUAAAUUUCAUCUAAAGCUAAAUACCGGCCAGAGACCGAUAGCGCACAAGUAGAGUGAUCGAAAGAUGAAAAGCACUUUGGAAAGAGAGUCAAACAGUACGUGAAAUUGUUGAAAGGGAAGCGCUGGCAACCAGACCUGUCCGCGGGCUUCAGCCCUCGUUCUCGAGGGUGUACUUGUCCGCGAUCAGGCCAGCAUCGGUUCGGGCGGUUGGAUAAAGGCCUUGGGAAUGUAGCUUCCCCCGGGAAGUCUUAUAGCCCUUGGCGCAAUGCGACCAGCCCGGACCGAGGACCGCGCUUCGGCUAGGAUGCUGGCGUAAUGGUUGUCAGCGACCCGUCUUGAAACACGGACCAAGGAGUUGACCACUUAUGCGAGUGUUUGGGUGUCAAACCCAUACGCGUAAUGAAAGUGAACGGAGGUGAGAACCCUUAAGGGCGCAUCAUCGACCGAUCCAGAUGUCUUCGGAUGGAUUUGAGUACGAGCAUAAUUGGUCUGACCCGAAAGAUGGUGAACUAUACUUGAAUAGGGUGAAGCCAGAGGAAACUCUGGUGGAGGCUCGCAGCGGUUCUGACGUGCAAAUCGAUCGUCAAAUUUGGGUAUAGGGGCGAAAGACUAAUCGAACCAUUCUCGAACGCUACUAGGUGGUUAAUCAGGGGCGGCCCGGAGCGUAUCCCUGGGCGCGAACCCUCAGUCCUUCGGGGCGACACUACCAUCUGCAUGGACGUCCCGCGGGUCUCCCGCGGGACUGAUAUGCUGCGGGCCUACCCUUUCCGAGGGGACAGGCACCGUACACAGACCAAAUGGUGGUGGCCAGAUCCAAGCUCUGGUUCAGAUAUGGCCGAGUCCCGCUCGAAGAACGAGCGGAUCCAACGCUAGUAGCUGGUUCCUGCCGAAGUUUCCCUCAGGAUAGCAGUAACGUUUUCAGUUUUAUGAGGUAAAGCGAAUGAUUAGAGGCCUUGGGGUUGAAACAACCUUAACCUAUUCUCAAACUUUAAAUAUGUAAGAAGUCCUUGUUACUUA
Molecule: ribosomal RNA, 1123 nt
Filed under: Lecidella euphorea
Lineage: Eukaryota; Fungi; Ascomycota; Lecanoromycetes; Lecanorales; Lecanoraceae
Description: eukaryotic LSU rRNA
Rfam family: Eukaryotic large subunit ribosomal RNA
Source: RNAcentral